AUGUUUGGCUGGAAAAAUUGCUGUUACCUGAAGUUGUGUGUUAGCAGAGAAAGAGAUACCUGCAUGGUGACAGUGGCCACUCUCCUGUCCUGCUGGCAGAUGAAACCUCCCAAAUCCUCCCAAAGUGCUGCAGCAUCCACGUGCAGAAGGGGUGAAAGGAACAAUGGAAGGACCAGAGCCAGUGAGAGCCGGAGGAAUGGCCCAGCAGCAGCUGCAGUCAUAGAAGGAUGUGAACUUCCCAGAGAGGCUGAAGCAGGCAGACGGAGUCAGAGAAACCGUGCAGCCAUUCGGAAAGGAGGAGGGCAACUCUCCCCAGGGCAGGGAGAUGUGCGGGAUCCAGCAGGGAGAAGGAAGCUAUUAUUUAAAAUAAGAAUAAGAAAAUAGAGCUGUAAAGUGGGUGAGUAGCCCUGCUGAAUAUUGGUGCUGAACAGUGUCUGAGAGCACUGGCUGGGGCUGCCUGAGUAAGAUUAAAAUCUGCAGGGAAAUUUUGUUCCUUAGCACUGGCAGAAAUUAGGAAUAAAUUCAAUUGCAUUCUGCACAAUAGCUGGAAGCGAUUGAGGUUAAGUGGCCCCGCUCUCUCAUGUGUUAGUAUUACUGAGCACUCUCCGCUCAUGUGACUCGGUGCGAGCUGCUCUUGGAACACGUCGCCAUGGCAACUGAUGAUUUCUAUUACAGUACAUUCAAGUUCACAUUCUAGGCCUGUCAUACGCUUGGAAAUUUCCAGUUAAAAUAUUUAUUUAUGAAAAAGGCGAAAAGAAAAGAAAAGCCACCCCCAGACUCUUUCAGGGAUAGAAAACAAAAAGGUGCCCCCAACGAAGAAUGAUUUAUCUGCCGACAAGAAGGGAAUGCUGCGUUUUCACUCAGCUGUUGCCGCCAAACAAAACAUGUGCCAUGGGGUGGCCAACUUUGUCAGGGAGGUGACAAGUUGGAAUCUCAGCUGCUGUGGUUCGGUAUGCAGAUGUGAUAUCGCACUGGAUGCAGAGUGACAGAAGUGGCCCUAAAAACCUGCAGAGCAGAGUCUCCAUGUGACCCUCUGAGGCACAUGGCUCCAAUUUCAGCUUCUCGCUGAGGUUCUGCACUUCAUCUUAGUCAAUCCUCAGCAGGGAGAGAGCUGCACUCUCCCCUCAGCCACAAAGAAGGGGUGGAGGGAGCUCUCACUGGGUGGGUCAAUAUUCUGGGGUCCCUGGGGAUUCCAAGGCUGACCCCAGUGGAGGAGGAGGGCAGACGGGGACAUAACAUGGCAGACUGCUCUCUCGAGGAAGUCAUAACCUUGUCCAUGACAGAGUUCCAUGUGGCUUUCUCUGUACUCCUCCCAGACACUGCCCAUGGAGCCCCAGGGACGCCCAGCCCUUUUAGGAAGACUACUAUUUAAGUGUGUAUAUGCCCGCUGGCUUCUCCCUGGAGAAAGGCAGCCAAGGGUUAAACUAAACCUCUCCUGAGAAAGAAAGCAUUAUUUCUUCGCCAUGCAUGAUGCAGGGAGGCUAACAAGGCCUCCUGGCUUCUCAUACUCUUUUUCCCUUAGUCAAGCACAUUAAAUAUGUUAAUAAAAGAUUCCCCAAUGCUUUCUCUAUCAGAAGCUUCCAGGUGGCUGCAAUGACCAUAGGUGCCCAAUUACCUGGUGAGGGCGUCCCAUGACUCACAGAUGGUUCUUUAUCUGGCUAUUAAAAUCUCCGUG
This 1675-nucleotide long non-coding RNA is filed under the name Macaca nemestrina (pig-tailed macaque). RNAcentral's name for it is "lncRNA (ENSMNEG00000046028.1)". Lineage: Eukaryota; Metazoa; Chordata; Mammalia; Primates; Cercopithecidae. The record is from RNAcentral.